RNAcentral lists this ribosomal RNA (303 nucleotides) under uncultured bacterium. Its description in RNAcentral is "partial 16S ribosomal RNA". It matches the Rfam family "Bacterial small subunit ribosomal RNA", at positions 507 to 807 of the family's 1533-position model. The record is from RNAcentral.
AGCAGCAGCCGCGGGAAUACGGAGGAUCCAAGCGUUAUCCGGAAUCAUUGGGUUUAAAGGGUCCGUAGGCGGUCUUGUAAGUCAGUGGUGAAAGCCCAUCGCUCAACGGUGGAACGGCCAUUGAUACUGCAGGACUUGAAUUAUUGGGAAGUAACUAGAAUAUGUAGUGUAGCGGUGAAAUGCUUAGAGAUUACAUGGAAUACCAAUUGCGAAGGCAGGUUACUACCAAUUGAUUGACGCUGAUGGACGAAAGCGUGGGUAGCGAACAGGAUUAGAGACCCCUGUAGUCCCUGUCUCUUAUAC